ACAAACACUUUUCGACACCCAUCGAAUAGAAACACGUUGUUUCGACUUCGACACAAAGAAUUCUAUAUUUAACACAUCACAUAAUUCAUUGUGUCAAAGCUAUCUACAUUCAUAAUUAUUCUUAAUAUCUUGAACAAUUUGACAUGCACAGCCUUCGUCAUUAUAUCUACAAUCUGAUUCUCUGAUUUGGGAUGCUCUA
Molecule: long non-coding RNA, 199 nt
Filed under: Lathyrus oleraceus (garden pea)
Lineage: Eukaryota; Viridiplantae; Streptophyta; Magnoliopsida; Fabales; Fabaceae
Description: Pisum sativum (pea) long non-coding RNA (PSAT_LNC026701)
Source: RNAcentral